Molecule: ribosomal RNA, 66 nt
Filed under: uncultured bacterium
Lineage: Bacteria
Description: partial 16S ribosomal RNA
Source: RNAcentral
UGGUCUUGACAUCCCGAGAACGACCUUGAAAGAGGGAAAUGCCUUCAUUAGAAGGAGCUUGGAGAC